This 253-nucleotide ribosomal RNA is filed under the name uncultured bacterium. RNAcentral's name for it is "partial 16S ribosomal RNA". It matches the Rfam family "Bacterial small subunit ribosomal RNA", at positions 524 to 776 of the family's 1533-position model. The record is from RNAcentral.
UACAGAGGUCUCAAGCGUUGUUCGGAUUCAUUGGGCGUAAAGGGCGCGUAGGCGGCGAGGUAAGUCUGGUGUGAAAUCUAGGAGCUCAACUCCUAAACUGCACUGGAUACUGCUUUGCUUGAGGACUGGAGAGGAGAAUGGAAUUCCCGGUGUAGCGGUGAAAUGCGCAGAUAUCGGGAGGAACACCGGUGGCGAAGGCGGUUCUCUGGGCCUUACCUGACACUGAGGAGCGAAAGCGUGGGGAGCGAACAGG